Molecule: small RNA, 600 nt
Filed under: Pongo abelii (Sumatran orangutan)
Lineage: Eukaryota; Metazoa; Chordata; Mammalia; Primates; Hominidae
Description: retained intron
Source: RNAcentral
GUGGGAAAGUGAGCUUCAGGCCAGAGAAGCCACAAAAGGGCCAGCUGCGGGCCGUCCAGCGGCUGUGCCACUUCUACAGUGCCGUCAUGCCCAGCGAGGCCCAGUGUGUCAUCUACCAUGAGCUCCAGCUCUCCCUGGCCUGCAAGGUGGCCGACAAGGUGCUGGAGGGGCAGCUCCUGGAGACCAUCAGCCAGUUCUACCUGUCCCUGGGCACUGAGCGACCCAUGGGAGGAGGCAGACUGGUUCCAGGAGGAUAAGAGACCUUGUUCUGACACCUGUGUCUGAUUCCAGGGCCUACAAAUCCGCACUGGACUACACCAAACGGAGUCUGGGGAUUUUCAUUGACCUCCAGAAGAAAGAGAAGGAGGCGCAUGCCUGGCUGCAAGCAGGAAAGAUCUAUUACAUCUUGCGACAGAGCGAGCUGGUUGACCUGUACAUCCAGGUGGCGCAGAAUGUGGCCCUGUACACAGGCGACCCCAACCUGGGGCUAGAGCUGUUUGAGGCGGCUGGAGACAUCUUCUUCAAUGGGGCCUGGGAGCGGGAGAAAGCCGUGUCCUUCUACCGGGUGAGCUGGCCUAUGGGCUGAUGUGGGUGGGCCCC